Molecule: transfer RNA, 65 nt
Filed under: Dipodomys ordii (Ord's kangaroo rat)
Lineage: Eukaryota; Metazoa; Chordata; Mammalia; Rodentia; Heteromyidae
Rfam family: tRNA
About the family: Transfer RNA (tRNA) molecules are approximately 80 nucleotides in length.
Source: Rfam by way of RNAcentral
GGUGGCUCAAUGGUAGAGUGCUUGCCUUAAAUGCACGAGACUCUGGGUUCAAUUCCUCAGCACCA